UCUCUGUAUCUAAGUCAGUUAGAGCGCUGCAUUGUAAUCGCAGAGCCGCAGGUUCGAUUCCUGCAUGCCAGAGAG
Paramuricea clavata is the source of this 75-nucleotide non-coding RNA. NCBI's taxonomy places the organism in Eukaryota, Metazoa, Cnidaria, Anthozoa, Malacalcyonacea, Plexauridae. The record is from the annotation of a GenBank genome assembly.